This 715-nucleotide ribosomal RNA is filed under the name Pseudogymnoascus sp. Its description in RNAcentral is "partial large subunit ribosomal RNA". It matches the Rfam family "Eukaryotic large subunit ribosomal RNA", at positions 81 to 817 of the family's 3401-position model. Lineage: Eukaryota; Fungi; Ascomycota; Leotiomycetes; Thelebolales; Thelebolaceae. The record is from RNAcentral.
CAGUAACGGCGAGUGAAGCGGUAACAGCUCAAAUUUGAAAUCUGGCCUCACGGUCCGAGUUGUAAUUUGUAGAGGAUGCUUCGAGCAUGGUCUGGCCUAAGUUCCUUGGAACAGGACGUCAUAGAGGGUGAGAAUCCCGUAUGCGGCCAGGUGCCUACGCUCAUGUGAAGCUCCUUCGACGAGUCGAGUUGUUUGGGAAUGCAGCUCAAAAUGGGUGGUAAAUUUCAUCUAAAGCUAAAUAUUGGCCAGAGACCGAUAGCGCACAAGUAGAGUGAUCGAAAGAUGAAAAGCACUUUGGAAAGAGAGUUAAACAGUACGUGAAAUUGUUGAAAGGGAAGCGCUUGCAACCAGACUUGCGCGCGGCCGAUCAUCCGGUGUUCUCACCGGUGCACUCGGCCGUGCUCAGGCCAGCAUCGGUUUUGGCGGCUGGAUAAAGGCCCUAGGAAUGUGGCUCCUCUCGGGGAGUGUUAUAGCCUAGGGUGCAAUGCAGCCUGCUGGGACCGAGGACCGCGCUUCGGCUAGGAUGCUGGCGUAAUGGUUGUAAGCGGCCCGUCUUGAAACACGGACCAAGGAGUCUAACAUCUAUGCGAGUGUUUGGGUGUCAAACCCAUACGCGUAAUGAAAGUGAACGGAGGUGAGAACCCUUAAGGGUGCAUCAUCGACCGAUCCUGAUGUCUUCGGAAGGAUUUGAGUAAGAGCAUAGCUGUUGGGACCC